RNAcentral lists this transfer RNA (68 nucleotides) under Geotrypetes seraphini (Gabon caecilian). RNAcentral describes it as "tRNA-Met". The record is from RNAcentral. Lineage: Eukaryota; Metazoa; Chordata; Amphibia; Gymnophiona; Dermophiidae.
AGUAAAAUCAGCUAAUUAAGCUUUUGGGCCCAUACCCCAAAAAUAAUGGAUAUUACCAUUUUUUACUA